Molecule: ribosomal RNA, 468 nt
Filed under: uncultured bacterium
Lineage: Bacteria
Description: partial 16S ribosomal RNA
Rfam family: Bacterial small subunit ribosomal RNA
Source: RNAcentral
GACGAACGCUGGCGGCGUGCUUAACACAUGCAAGUCGAACGGAAAGGCCCUGCUUUUGUGGGGUGCUCGAGUGGCGAACGGGUGAGUAACACGUGAGUAACCUGCCCUUGACUUUGGGAUAACUUCAGGAAACUGGGGCUAAUACCGGAUAUGAGCUCCUGCUGCAUGGUGGGGGUUGGAAAGUUUCGGCGGUUGGGGAUGGACUCGCGGCUUAUCAGCUUGUUGGUGGGGUAGUGGCUUACCAAGGCUUUGACGGGUAGCCGGCCUGAGAGGGCGACCGGCCACAUUGGGACUGAGAUGCGGCCCAGACUCCUACGGGAGGCAGCAGUGAGGAAUAUUGCACGAUGGGCGGAAGCCUGAUGCAGCAACGCCGCGUGCGGGAUGACGGCCUUCGGGUUGUAAACCGCUUUCGCCUGUGACGAAGCGUGAGUGACGGUAAUGGGUAAAGAAGCACCGGCUAACUACGUG